Gossypium raimondii (Peruvian cotton) is the source of this 144-nucleotide non-coding RNA. The record is from Rfam. NCBI's taxonomy places the organism in Eukaryota, Viridiplantae, Streptophyta, Magnoliopsida, Malvales, Malvaceae.
UAUUAAAAUUUUAUCCAUUUCUACUGUAAAAAAUUAGCAUUGCUAACAGAAUAACCAAAGAGUGACACAUGGCAUGCCACAUUUACCUCAUGUUGACAUACUGGAACCUGUUUUUAAUAGUAGAAAUUAGUGAAAAUUUCAACA